GCUCCAAUAGCGUAUAUUUAAGUUGUUGCAGUUAAAAAGCUCGUAGUUGGACCUUGGGUUGGGUCGAUCGGUCCGCCUCCGGUGUGCACCGGUCGCUCGUCCUUCUGCCGGCGAUGCGCUCCUGGCCUUAAUUGGUCGGGUCGUGCCUCCGGCGCUGUUACUUUGAAGAAAUUAGAGUGCUCAAAGCAAGCCUACGCUCU
Molecule: ribosomal RNA, 200 nt
Filed under: uncultured eukaryote
Lineage: Eukaryota
Description: partial 18S ribosomal RNA
Rfam family: Eukaryotic small subunit ribosomal RNA
Source: RNAcentral